This 253-nucleotide ribosomal RNA is filed under the name uncultured bacterium. Its description in RNAcentral is "partial 16S ribosomal RNA". It matches the Rfam family "Bacterial small subunit ribosomal RNA", at positions 524 to 776 of the family's 1533-position model. The record is from RNAcentral.
UACGGAGGGUGCAAGCGUUAUCCGGAUUCACUGGGUUUAAAGGGUGCGUAGGUGGGUUGAUAAGUCAGUGGUGAAAUCCCCGAGCUUAACUUGGGAACUGCCAUUGAUACUAUUGAUCUUGAAUACCGUGGAGGUCAGCGGAAUAUGUCAUGUAGCGGUGAAAUGCUUAGAUAUGACAUAGAACACCAAUUGCGAAGGCAGCUGGCUACACAAAUAUUGACACUGAGGCACGAAAGCGUGGGGAGCAAACAGG